RNAcentral lists this ribosomal RNA (251 nucleotides) under uncultured bacterium. Its description in RNAcentral is "partial 16S ribosomal RNA". It matches the Rfam family "Bacterial small subunit ribosomal RNA", at positions 524 to 774 of the family's 1533-position model. The record is from RNAcentral.
UACGUAGGGGGCAAGCGUUAUCCGGAUUUACUGGGUGUAAAGGGAGCGUAGACGGCACAGCAAGUCUGAUGUGAAAGGCAGGGGCUUAACCCCUGGACUGCAUUGGAAACUGCUGUGCUUGAGUGCCGGAGAGGUAAGUGGGAUUCCUAGUGUAGCGGUGAAAUGCGUAGAUAUUAGGAGGAACACCAGUGGCGAAGGCGGCUUACUGGACAGUAACUGACGUUGAGGCUCGAAAGCGUGGGGAGCAAACA